UUUUUCUAUGAACCGAAAAUGGGUUCGUGCGUGCGAAUGGUAGUGUGCGAUGGAGAGGGAAAGAGAGGUUCGUGGUGGCUGGGUCUACUAGAGGUUGUCGCCGGUGUGAGGUGGUGGAGGUGCGGUGGCCUGGGUGGCCGCUUACGGCUGCACAACUGG
Molecule: long non-coding RNA, 159 nt
Organism: Juglans microcarpa x Juglans regia
Lineage: Eukaryota; Viridiplantae; Streptophyta; Magnoliopsida; Fagales; Juglandaceae
Exons: 3
Source: RefSeq, a predicted model, not a curated record